RNAcentral lists this transfer RNA (69 nucleotides) under Hypleurochilus springeri (orangespotted blenny). RNAcentral describes it as "tRNA-Met". It matches the Rfam family "tRNA". Rfam says of the family: Transfer RNA (tRNA) molecules are approximately 80 nucleotides in length. Their secondary structure includes four short double-helical elements and three loops (D, anti-codon, and T loops). RNAcentral also lists the same sequence under 2 other names. Lineage: Eukaryota; Metazoa; Chordata; Actinopteri; Blenniiformes; Blenniidae. The record is from RNAcentral.
AGUAGGGUCAGCUAAUUAAGCUCUUGGGCCCAUACCCCAAACAUGUUGGUUAAACUCCUUCCUCUACUA